GACGAACGCUGGCGGCGUGCUUAACACAUGCAAGUCGUACGAUGACCCGGCUCUUCGGAGCUGGUGAUUAGUGGCGAACGGGUGAGUAACACGUGGGUGACCUGCCCUGCACUCUGGGAUAAGCCCGGGAAACUGGGUCUAAUACUGGAUACGACCAGUGGCCGCAUGGUCUGCUGGUGGAAAGCCCUUCGGGGUGGUGUGGGAUGGGCCCGCGGCCUAUCAGCUUGUUGGUGGGGUGAUGGCCUACCAAGGCGACGACGGGUAGCCGGCCUGAGAGGGUGUCCGGCCACACUGGGACUGAGACACGGCCCAGACUCCUACGGGAGGCAGCAGUGGGGAAUCUUGCACAAUGGGCGAAAGCCUGAUGCAGCGACGCCGCGUGAGGGAUGACGGCCUUCGGGUUGUAAACCUCUUUCGGCAGGGAACAAGCCUGGGGGGUUUCGUCUGGGUGAGGGUACCUGCGGAAGAAGCACCGGCUAACUACGUG
Molecule: ribosomal RNA, 487 nt
Filed under: uncultured bacterium
Lineage: Bacteria
Description: partial 16S ribosomal RNA
Rfam family: Bacterial small subunit ribosomal RNA
Source: RNAcentral